This 397-nucleotide ribosomal RNA is filed under the name uncultured bacterium. Its description in RNAcentral is "partial 16S ribosomal RNA". It matches the Rfam family "Bacterial small subunit ribosomal RNA", at positions 523 to 918 of the family's 1533-position model. The record is from RNAcentral.
AUACGUAGGUGGCGAGCGUUGUCCGGAAUUACUGGGCGUAAAGGAUGCGUAGGUGGAUACUUAAGUGGGAUGUGAAAUCCCCGGGCUCAACCCGGGAACUGCAUUCCAAACUGGGUAUCUAGAGUGCAGGAGAGGAAAGCGGAAUUCCUAGUGUAGCGGUGAAAUGCGUAGAUAUUAGGAGGAACACCAGUGGCGAAGGCGGCUUUCUGGACUGUAACUGACACUGAGGCAUGAAAGCGUGGGUAGCAAACAGGAUUAGAUACCCUGGUAGUCCACGCCGUAAACGAUGGGUACUAGGUGUAGGAGGUAUCGACCCCUUCUGUGCCGUCGUUAACACAAUAAGUACCCCGCCUGGGGAGUACGGUCGCAAGACUAAAACUCAAAGGAAUUGACGGAG